UUCUGUAAGCCUGUGAAGGUGAGUUGAGAAGCUUGCUGGAGGUAUCAGAAGUGCGAAUGCUGACAUGAGUAACGACAAUGGGUGUGAAAAACACCCACGCCGAAAGACCAAGGGUUCCUGCGCAACGUUAAUCGACGCAGGGUUAGUCGGUUCCUAAGGCGAGGCUGAAAAGCGUAGUCGAUGGGAAACAGGUUAAUAUUCCUGUACUUCUGGUUACUGCGAUGGAGGGACGGAGAAGGCUAGGCCAGCUUGGCGUUGGUUGUCCAAGUUUAAGGUGGUAGGCUGAAAUCUUAGGUAAAUCCGGGGUUUCAAGGCCGAGAGCUGAUGACGAGUCGUCUUUUAGAUGACGAAGUGGUUGAUGCCAUGCUUCCAAGAAAAGCUUCUAAGCUUCAGGUAACCAGGAACCGUACCCCAAACCGACACAGGUGGUCGGGUAGAGAAUACCAAGGCGCUUGAGAGAACUCGGGUGAAGGAACUAGGCAAAAUGGCACCGUAACUUCGGGAGAAGGUGCGCCGGCUAGGGUGAAGGAUUUACUCCGUAAGCUCUGGCUGGUCGAAGAUACCAGGCCGCUGCGACUGUUUAUUAAAAACACAGCACUCUGCAAACACGAAAGUGGACG
RNAcentral lists this ribosomal RNA (620 nucleotides) under Pseudomonas aeruginosa. RNAcentral describes it as "partial 23S ribosomal RNA". It matches the Rfam family "Bacterial large subunit ribosomal RNA", at positions 1239 to 1843 of the family's 2925-position model. The record is from RNAcentral. Lineage: Bacteria; Pseudomonadati; Pseudomonadota; Gammaproteobacteria; Pseudomonadales; Pseudomonadaceae.